Molecule: small nucleolar RNA, 82 nt
Organism: Ochotona princeps (American pika)
Lineage: Eukaryota; Metazoa; Chordata; Mammalia; Lagomorpha; Ochotonidae
Source: Ensembl
CAGCAUGUGUGCAACGGCUGUGGCUGGCUGCAGCCUCGGGACCUCCAACCGCACGAGAGGCAACCUGCAGGCUCCGACAGCG